Molecule: long non-coding RNA, 397 nt
Filed under: Salvia miltiorrhiza (redroot sage)
Lineage: Eukaryota; Viridiplantae; Streptophyta; Magnoliopsida; Lamiales; Lamiaceae
Description: long non-coding RNA (SMIL_LNC012257)
Source: RNAcentral
UGGGCGGGCAGCUGUUCUCCGCCAUGGUGGUCCGCAAGCCGGCCCACAGGUUCCUGGACGAGCUGGAGAUCGAGUACGACGAGCAGGACGACUACGUGGUGAUCAAGCACGCCGCCCUCUUCACCUCCACCAUCAUGAGCAAGCUCCUCGCCCGCCCCAACGUCAAGCUCUUCAACGCCGUGGCCGCCGAGGACCUCAUCGUCAAGGGCGGCAGGGUCGGCGGCGUCGUCACCAACUGGGCCCUCGUCUCCAUGAACCACGACACACAAUCGUGUAUGGACCCCAACGUCAUGGAGGCCAAGGUCGUCGUCAGCUCCUGCGGCCACGACGGCCCCUUCGGCGCCACCGGCGUCAAGCGCUUGAAGAGCAUCGGAAUGAUCGACAGCGUGCCCGGGAU